AGUGAACGCUGGCGGUAGGCCUAACACAUGCAAGUCGAACGGCAGCACAGUAAGAGCUUGCUCUUACGGGUGGCGAGUGGCGGACGGGUGAGGAAUACAUCGGAAUCUACUUUUUCGUGGGGGAUAACGUAGGGAAACUUACGCUAAUACCGCAUACGACCUACGGGUGAAAGCAGGGGAUCUUCGGACCUUGCGCGAUUGAAUGAGCCGAUGUCGGAUUAGCUAGUUGGCGGGGUAAAGGCCCACCAAGGCGACGAUCCGUAGCUGGUCUGAGAGGAUGAACCGCCACAAUUGGACUUGAAAACCGUCCCAGCUCCCAAGGGAGGGAACAGUGGGGAAUAUUGGGCCAUGGGGGGCAGCCUUGUCCAGGCCUACCGGCGUGGGUAAAGAGGCCUUCGGGUUGUAAAGCCCUUUUGUUGGGAAAGAAAAGCAGCAGGUUAAUACCCCGCUGUUCUGACGGUACCCAAAGAAUAAGCACCGGCUAACUUCGUG
This 492-nucleotide ribosomal RNA is filed under the name uncultured bacterium. RNAcentral's name for it is "partial 16S ribosomal RNA". It matches the Rfam family "Bacterial small subunit ribosomal RNA", at positions 29 to 507 of the family's 1533-position model. The record is from RNAcentral.